RNAcentral lists this ribosomal RNA (484 nucleotides) under uncultured bacterium. Its description in RNAcentral is "partial 16S ribosomal RNA". It matches the Rfam family "Bacterial small subunit ribosomal RNA", at positions 28 to 507 of the family's 1533-position model. The record is from RNAcentral.
AUUGAACGCUGGCGGCAUGCUUUACACAUGCAAGUCGAACGGCAGCGCGGGCUUCGGCCUGGCGGCGAGUGGCGAACGGGUGAGUAAUGCAUCGGAACGUGCCCAGGAGUGGGGGAUAGCCCGGCGAAAGCCGGAUUAAUACCGCAUACGACCUGAGGGUGAAAGCGGGGGACCGAAAGGCCUCGCGCUAUUGGAGCGGCCGAUGUCGGAUUAGCUAGUUGGUGGGGUAAGGGCUUACCAAGGCGACGAUCCGUAGCUGGUCUGAGAGGACGACCAGCCACACUGGGACUGAGACACGGCCCAGACUCCUACGGGAGGCAGCAGUGGGGAAUUUUGGACAAUGGGGGCAACCCUGAUCCAGCCAUGCCGCGUGCGGGAAGAAGGCCUUCGGGUUGCAAACCGCUUUUGUUCGGGAAGAAAUCCUCUGGGCUAAUACCCCGGGGGGAUGACGGUACCGGAAGAAUAAGCACCGGCUAACUACGUG